RNAcentral lists this ribosomal RNA (452 nucleotides) under uncultured bacterium. RNAcentral describes it as "bacterial SSU rRNA". It matches the Rfam family "Bacterial small subunit ribosomal RNA", at positions 8 to 507 of the family's 1533-position model. The record is from RNAcentral.
AGAGUUUGAUCAUGGCUCAGAACGAACGCUGGCGGCAUGCCUAACACAUGCAAGUCGAACGAAGCCUUCGGGCUUAGUGGCGCACGGGUGCGUAACGCGUGGGAAUCUGCCUUGGGUUCGGAAUAACAGUUAGAAAUGACUGCUAAUACCGAAUGAUGUCUUCGGACCAAAGAUUUAUCGCCCAAGGAUGAGCCCGCGUCGGAUUAGCUAGUUGGUGAGGUAAAGGCUCACCAAGGCGACGAUCCGUAGCUGGUCUGAGAGGAUGAUCAGCCACACUGGGACUGAGACACGGCCCAGACUCCUACGGGAGGCAGCAGUGGGGAAUAUUGGACAAUGGGCGAAAGCCUGAUCCAGCAAUGCCGCGUGAGUGAUGAAGGCCUUAGGGUUGUAAAGCUCUUUUACCCGGGAUGAUAAUGACAGUACCGGGAGAAUAAGCCCCGGCUAACUCCGUG